This 31-nucleotide non-coding RNA is filed under the name Homo sapiens (human). The record is from RNAcentral. Lineage: Eukaryota; Metazoa; Chordata; Mammalia; Primates; Hominidae.
UNUGCUUCUUAGAGACAAGGCCUCACUCCAU